GACGAACGCUGGCGGCGUGCCUAAUACAUGCAAGUCGAACGCUUUUUCUUUCACCGGAGCUUGCUCCACCGAAAGAAAAAGAGUGGCGAACGGGUGAGUAACACGUGGGUAACCUGCCCAUCAGAAGGGGAUAACACUUGGAAACAGGUGCUAAUACCGUAUAACACUAUUUUCCGCAUGGAAGAAAGUUGAAAGGCGCUUUUGCGCCACUGAUGGAUGGACCCGCGGUGCAUUAGCUAGUUGGUGAGGUAACGGCUCACCAAGGCAACGAUGCAUAGCCGACCUGAGAGGGUGAUCGGCCACACUGGGACUGAGACACGGCCCAGACUCCUACGGGAGGCAGCAGUAGGGAAUCUUCGGCAAUGGACGAAAGUCUGACCGAGCAACGCCGCGUGAGUGAAGAAGGUUUUCGGAUCGUAAAACUCUGUUGUUAGAGAAGAACAAGGAUGAGAGUAGAACGUUCAUCCCUUGACGGUAUCUAACCAGAAAGCCACGGCUAACUACAUGCCAGCAGCCGCCGUAA
Molecule: ribosomal RNA, 523 nt
Filed under: uncultured bacterium
Lineage: Bacteria
Description: partial 16S ribosomal RNA
Rfam family: Bacterial small subunit ribosomal RNA
Source: RNAcentral